Molecule: ribosomal RNA, 497 nt
Filed under: uncultured bacterium
Lineage: Bacteria
Description: partial 16S ribosomal RNA
Rfam family: Bacterial small subunit ribosomal RNA
Source: RNAcentral
GACGAACGCUGGCGGCGUGCCUAAUACAUGCAAGUAGAACGCUGAAGCGAGGAGCUUGCUCUUCUUGGAUGAGUUGCGAACGGGUGAGUAACGCGUAGGUAACCUGCCUGGUAGCGGGGGAUAACUAUUGGAAACGAUAGCUAAUACCGCAUAAAAUGGAUUAUCGCAUGAUAAUCCAUUGAAAGGUGCAAAUGCAUCACUACCAGAUGGACCUGCGUUGUAUUAGCUAGUUGGUGGGGUAACGGCUCACCAAGGCGACGAUACAUAGCCGACCUGAGAGGGUGAUCGGCCACACUGGGACUGGGACACGGCCCAGACUCCUACGGGAGGCAGCAGUAGGGAAUCUUCGGCAAUGGACGGAAGUCUGACCGAGCAACGCCGCGUGAGUGAAGAAGGUUUUCGGAUCGUAAAGCUCUGUUGUAAGAGAAGAACGAGUGUGAGAGUGGAAAGUUCACACUGUGACGGUAUCUUACCAGAAAGGGACGGCUAACUACGUG